AUGCUUCCUAAUAAUUACUUUUUUUUUUCUUUUUUGGUGUGUGGAUAUGAUCACUUAGAACAUAAACUAUACAUAACCAUUUGAGUAUGUUGACUAUACAUUUUAACAUGUGGGCACAGUUGUUCUGAAGGACGGUCGAUAAAGGUCUGGUCCAUGGAGAAUCAGAGAGAUCAGAGAAGUUUGGUCUGGAGGAUGAUGAACCUGAUUGAUUCCUCCCUCACACUGGGG
RNAcentral lists this long non-coding RNA (228 nucleotides) under Linum usitatissimum (flax). RNAcentral describes it as "long non-coding RNA (LUSI_LNC007202)". Lineage: Eukaryota; Viridiplantae; Streptophyta; Magnoliopsida; Malpighiales; Linaceae. The record is from RNAcentral.